Molecule: ribosomal RNA, 538 nt
Filed under: uncultured bacterium
Lineage: Bacteria
Description: partial 16S ribosomal RNA
Rfam family: Bacterial small subunit ribosomal RNA
Source: RNAcentral
UGGGGAAUUUUGGACAAUGGGGGAAACCCUGAUCCAGCCAUCCCGCGUGUGCGAUGAAGGCCUUCGGGUUGUAAAGCACUUUUGGCAGGAAAGAAACGUCGCGGGUUAAUACCCCGCGAAACUGACGGUACCUGCAGAAUAAGCACCGGCUAACUACGUGCCAGCAGCCGCGGUAAUACGUAGGGUGCAAGCGUUAAUCGGAAUUACUGGGCGUAAAGCGUGCGCAGGCGGUUCGGAAAGAAAGAUGUGAAAUCCCAGAGCUUAACUUUGGAACUGCAUUUUUAACUACCGGGCUAGAGUGUGUCAGAGGGAGGUGGAAUUCCGCGUGUAGCAUGAAAUGCGUAGAUAUGCGGAGGAACACCGAUGGCGAAGGCAGCCUCCUGGGAUAACACUGACGCUCAUGCACGAAAGCGUGGGGAGCAAACAGGAUUAGAUACCCUGGUAGUCCACGCCCUAAACGAUGUCAACUAGCUGUUGGGGCCUUCGGGCCUUGGUAGCGCAGCUAACGCGUGAAGUUGACCGCCUGGGGAGUACGGUC